This 1699-nucleotide long non-coding RNA is filed under the name Mus musculus (house mouse). Its description in RNAcentral is "long non-coding RNA chr19:32841965-32843664". Lineage: Eukaryota; Metazoa; Chordata; Mammalia; Rodentia; Muridae. The record is from RNAcentral.
UAAUGCUAGUGACACGCUGUUUUUAAUCACCACAGCUUGGUAGCAUAAACUUGGUAUCUGGGAUAAUAAUACGUCUAGCAGUUCAUUUGGCUCUGUUGGGUGUUCAUGUUUCUGUAUGAAAUUCAAGAUUAUAUUUUUCAAUGUCGGUGAAGAAUUGCAUUAGAACUGCGAUGAGGAUUACACUGAAUCUGUACAUUGCUUUUGAUAGGUAACUUAUACUCAUCGAAAAGGUCCACCCCAGCAGGCUAGUUUUCAGAGUGCUCGAAGGUGCUAUUCACGUUACCAGAGGAGAAAAGGAAUGAGCAGCCUGUGAACUCUGUGAGCUUCAACAACAACUGGCCUGGCAGACAUGACCAUUGUUGCAGUAGUGGUAUGAAUAUCACAGGAGUAAACCAACCACUUUCUGCUUGAAUUUAAGGCCCACCCCACAAGUUAAAGCAACAUUAUUAGGGCAAAUAACUUGUUGCUAGAUAGUAGAUGUAGUCUAGGCUAGUCUUAAACUCACAGAGAUUCACCUGCCUCUGUCUCCUGAGUGCUAAGAUUAAACAUGUACAUCACACUGGGCAGUGGUGGCGCACACCUUUAAUCCCAGAACUUGGGUGGCAGAGGCAGGCGGAUUUCUGAGUUCGAGGCCAGCCUGGUCUACAGAGUGAGUUCCAGGGCAGCCAGGGCUACACAGAGAAACCCUGUCUCGAAAAAAAAAUUUUUUUUUAACAUUAUUUCACCUGGCUUGGAACAUGUAUGUAUUUUGGGAGAAAUUACAAAACUACCCAAACUGAAGGACAUAAAUCUACAUUCUUGGUUCAUAUAUGGGAAAAUGAAUCAUGCUUGCCCCAGGCCAGAAAGAAAGCUCUCACCAUUGGCAGAAGCCUCUUCCAAGCAGAACACUCCACAGGGUAAAGGAUGGGCAUGAGAGAGUCCGCAGAAGAAGACAAGCUGACCUCGCGGGUAUGCCACCAGCUGCUGCUUCUGGAAACUGAAGGAAGUUUGGAGCCUCUUGAAAUGAUGCAGCACUGUUUUAAGUAGAUGGCUACGGUACUGGCAGUCAGAGUGCACUGUUCCAAAUGCUUGUAAAUUGGUCAUCUAAAGGUUUCUGACCUUGAGUUUUCUUAUCUAUAAAAUGGGAAUUAUAUGCUCUUUAAAAAGAAAGUAUGAGCAUGUACACCUAAGUAUGUGUAUGUGAAUGAAAGUACAUAGACAUAGACUCCUAAGAAUAUUAGGAGGGUCAUUUGAAGGACAUUGUCUCGGAUCUUGAAGGGUUAACAGAGAGAGGGCAUGUGCUUAUGCAAGAGAGAGAAAGAGAGAGAGAAAGAGAGAGAGAGAAAGAGAGAGAGAAACUGAGGACUACCAAGCACAGAAGACAUAGAAGAAAAUAAUGACGACACAGUCUCUACACUCAUAAGACUUGAUAAGUAAGAGUUUCCUAGGCAAAGAAAUAUAUUCCUGACCAGAGAAUAGGGUGGUUGUGUUAUAUAUCAGAUGCAGCACAAACACUGUAAAAGCGUUGCACCAAUUGUCUUAAUUAUUUAUUAAAGCUUUUUUUUAAAAUUUUAUUUUUAUAUGUGCACGUGUUCUGCCUGUAUGUAUGUCUGUGUGAAGGCAUCAGAUCCCCUGGAACUGAAGUUACAGACGGAUUCGAGCUGCCAUGUGGGUGCUGGGAAUUGAACCCUGGUCCUUUGGAAGAACAGCCAGUGUUCUU